This 240-nucleotide unclassified non-coding RNA is filed under the name soil metagenome. Its description in RNAcentral is "partial contains 5.8S ribosomal RNA, internal transcribed spacer 2, and large subunit ribosomal RNA". The record is from RNAcentral.
AACGCACGAGACCUGCGGACCUGCGGAAGGAUCAUUAAUGAGAAGCUGCCCCUCGUGGGUAGACCUCCCACCCUCUGUGAACUUACCUUUGUUGCCUUGGCAGGCCCGUCCUCUGGACCGCCGGCUUCGGCUGGCCCGUGCCUGCCAGAGGAUUCCAAACCCUGUCUGUCAGUGUUGUCUGAGUCUAUAUGAAAUCGUUAAAACUUUCAACAACGGAUCUCUAGAUCGGAAGAGCACACG